AAAGUCGUAACAAGGUUUCCGUAGGUGAACCUGCGGAAGGAUCAUUAUUGUAGGGACUCCGGUCCCCUCAAGAUGCAACCCGUGCCUUUUUUGUAGCCCGUAACGUUUCCUCGGCAGCCCCGCUGCCAGCGAGGACCCCCCCCCAAACCAAACCUGCAAUCUCAGUAAAAAAUUCAGAAACCCCCCAAAAUUUAAAACUUUCAACAAUGGAUCUCUUGGCUCUG
RNAcentral lists this unclassified non-coding RNA (224 nucleotides) under Ascomycota sp. RNAcentral's name for it is "partial contains small subunit ribosomal RNA, internal transcribed spacer 1, and 5.8S ribosomal RNA". The stretch from base 1 to 47 matches the Rfam family "Eukaryotic small subunit ribosomal RNA", at positions 1785 to 1831 of the family's 1831-position model. Lineage: Eukaryota; Fungi; Ascomycota. The record is from RNAcentral.